RNAcentral lists this ribosomal RNA (253 nucleotides) under uncultured bacterium. RNAcentral describes it as "partial 16S ribosomal RNA". It matches the Rfam family "Bacterial small subunit ribosomal RNA", at positions 524 to 776 of the family's 1533-position model. The record is from RNAcentral.
UACGGAGGGAGCAAGCGUUAAUCGGAAUUACUGGGCGUAAAGCGCACGCAGGCGGUUUGAUAAGUUAGAUGUGAAAGCCCCGGGCUCAACCUGGGAAUUGCAUUUAAAACUGUCAGGCUAGAGACUUGGAGAGGGGGGUAGAAUUCCAAGUGUAGCGGUGAAAUGCGUAGAGAUCUGGAGGAAUACCGGUGGCGAAGGCGGCCCCCUGGACGGAGACUGACGCUCAGGUGCGAAAGCGUGGGGAGCAAACAGG